UCCUGGUUUCCCAGGCAGUCCCAUCAGAGUGCUCCGUCACCGGAUAGCAACUGACAGUAGGGGUUGCGCUCGUUAUAGGACUUAACCCAACAUCUCACGACACGAGCUGACGACAGCCAUGCAGCACCUGUGCAUAUGUCAAAGGUUACCCCUUGAAGAUCGUAUUUCUACGACUGUCAUAUGCAUGUCAAGCCUAGGUAAGGUUCCUCGCGUAGUGUCGAAUUAAACCACAUGUUCCACCGCUUGUGCGGACCCCCGUCAAUUCCUUUGAGUUUUAAUCUUGCGACCGUAAUCCCCAGGCGAAUCACUUAACGCGUUAGCUGCGACACUAAUCCUGCAAGCAGGACUAACGUCUAGUGAUCAUCGUUUACAGCGUGGACUAC
RNAcentral lists this unclassified non-coding RNA (383 nucleotides) under uncultured bacterium. Its description in RNAcentral is "contains 16S-23S intergenic spacer region". The record is from RNAcentral.